This 531-nucleotide long non-coding RNA is filed under the name Nicotiana benthamiana. RNAcentral's name for it is "long non-coding RNA (NBEN_LNC013599)". The record is from RNAcentral. Lineage: Eukaryota; Viridiplantae; Streptophyta; Magnoliopsida; Solanales; Solanaceae.
UUCACAUCAAAUGCAUAUCAACCACUGCUUCGAUCUCACGGAUCCAAACUGAAGGGAUUCCAACAGAUCUUCAAACCAGAACAACGAGCUGCGACGGGAAACAUGAACGACGGCUGGAAAAGAUCCAGAAUACAAAACUAGCUUUAUAUAUCAAUAUUUCUGAUUUUUGAAGUGAAACCACAACUUAGAAAAAGCUGAUUUGAUUUUCAGCGCCGCUUCAUUUCAGUUUCAAAUUCGACAUUGAGCAAAAGAAACAAAAACAUUACCAUAUUCUGUCUUUGGUUUUCGACGAUGCUGGUAUGUGUAUGUAUGUGUUUUGGUAUGUGUGUGUGUUUAUUUCUUGUUUGAGCUGUUGAUGGAACUCGAUAGCUAUGGAGGAGUUGGUUAUUGUGUGUUUUGCAUGGUGGUAUUGGCUGGUGUCCAAUAAUUGAGGGGAAUCAGUCCAUGGUGGGGAUGGAGGUUCGGAGAAGACGAAGCUUCAGAGGUGGGGUCUGUCCUGUAAAACACAAAGUUUGUGUGAAGAGAAGCGGC